This 260-nucleotide ribosomal RNA is filed under the name Rhizobium sp. CIAM540. RNAcentral describes it as "partial 16S ribosomal RNA". It matches the Rfam family "Bacterial small subunit ribosomal RNA", at positions 54 to 344 of the family's 1533-position model. Lineage: Bacteria; Pseudomonadati; Pseudomonadota; Alphaproteobacteria; Hyphomicrobiales; Rhizobiaceae. The record is from RNAcentral.
CAUNCAAGUCGAGCGCCUCGCAAGAGGAGCGGCAGACGGGUGAGUAACGCGUGGGAAUCUACCCAUCCCUACGGAACAACUCCGGGAAACUGGAGCUAAUACCGUAUACGCCCUUCGGGGGAAAGAUUUAUCGGGNAUGGAUGAGCCCGCGUUGGAUUAGCUAGUUGGUGGGGUAAAGGCCUACCAAGGCGACGAUCCAUAGCUGGUCUGAGAGGAUGAUCAGCCACAUUGGGACUGAGACACGGCCCAAACUCCUACGG